CUCCCUCCCUCUCCCUCUCCCACCCCCUCAAAGUGCAGAUGCAUGUUCUAGCCAAUUUUAUGAAUAAUUCUGAAGUUUAUCUACAGAGCACUGGGGCACUUAAUCUUAGGAAUAAGACCAAGAAGUGAUUAUUCCACUCCUCAAGUGGCAUAAUAUUUCCUUUACUGACAAUUUACUCAUGCCUCCCUUGUCUAGAACUUACCAGUUGCUUCUCCUUGACAUUCUCCUCCUGAUUGACACUUUGUCCCCUCCCACAGCUAACUCUCCAUGCAAAAGGCUCAAAUCCCUCAAAGGAGAAUUCCAGAAAGUAAUAACAAUUGAUGCAAAUGCAAAAACUCAGACUGACUGGAGCAAAAAGGAGGGAAUUUGUUCAUUCAAGGAACUAAAAGUUUAUGAAUAGCUCUUUAGGACCCAGAGACUCUAAUGAUAUCACUAGCUCUUGGUAUCAUCUUUCAUAUCUUGGCUCUGUUUUUCUCUGAAUUGGCUUUCAUUCUUUGUCAGCCUUUUCCCUUAUAGUGAAAACACGUUUGUCAACAGCUACAGGCUCCCCUAGCAUUUGCAGACUUCAGACAAGGGCACAAGUGGAAAUUCACAUAAAUAAACUCUAAAUAUUUUAAAGUUAUAACCAACCCAACAAAUUUUCCUUAAUCUUGAAAAAUAUACUUAAUAAUGACAUGUAUGUAUAAAUGACUAUAAUGACUAUAUGUAUGUAUAUAUGACUAUAAUGACUAUAAUUUUUAUGACUGAAAAUCAAGUCAUUAAUAUAAUUACAUUUAAUUAUUAUUAUGUAGGUGUAAUGGAUUUUUUUCUGCUUAUUAUACAAAAGAUAUUUUUCUAUAUUUCAGCUAAAUGACAAGAAAACCCUGCAAAGCUUCUUAAAUCUGAGUGUGGGUCCUAUGCCUAGAGAUUCUCAUUCACUAGCUCUGUUUGGGGUCCAGGAAUAUGAAUUUAAAACAAGAGCUCCAGGUAAUAUAAUAAAAUCAAGAUCUUCACAUAAUUUGUAAAACAAGUUGUCAUUAUCUCGUAAACUUGAAGAGUCACAUCCUGUAGACCCAGCAACUUCAGCCUCUCCCAUGGUACAAGUAUCUUCAUAGUCCUGAGAAGACAACUGGAUGGGCCCAAAAGGCUUUUCCUCUCCUUUUGUUAACUAGGAAGAAAACUGGCUCAGCAGAUCUGAAUUAGGUCAGCUGAUUCCAGCUGAUGAGUUCUGGAAGCUUCCCCUUUUUAACAAAGCUCCUUUGGGAUGGGCUCACAAAGCUUCCAUUGUUACAUCAUGGUGUAAUUUUCCUAAGUAUGCAGCCGGUGGAGUUGGAAAUUACCUUUCUUCUUGAACUUUGAUCAUGACAAGUACAGACAUCUGUGCUUAGCCUAAAUUGUGGUACAAUGAAAGUUUAGAGAAAUAUGCAUGGUAUACUAAAUCUCUAAUUGGAAAAAAAAAAAUUCCCCCUAAUGAAUCCUAUCUCAUAUUUGUACUGCUAAGCCUCAAGAAUGGGAGUCAUACCCUUUUGCCUUACAGCACUUCUGUUUGUUGUAGCAAAAAAACUUGAAAAAACACAAAUGCCCAUUGACAGGGCAUAGAGAUGCUGUGAUAUAUUCAUUCAAUGGAAUGCUAUAUAGCAAUGAAGAGGAAUAAACUAAAGCCGUAGGCAUCAAUAUAAAUGAAUCUUAGAAAUAUGAUUAGAAAAAUCAUGCUCUCAAAGAAUACCAAAAUACAAUACCAUUUAUAUAAAAUUAAAGUUCCAAACCAUAUGUCAGAGACCCUUACAUAUGGGGGAAACCAUAAAUAAAAGCAAAAUCAUGGCAGUGAUUUUCUGGUGAGGGUUGGGAGUUAGGUGAUGGAGUUGUAUGAAAGGCAGAUGCACAUGAGGGCAAUUAAAGCUAUUGGUACUUUAUUUAUAUGAAUUAAGCAUUCAAUUUAUAGAGAUUUCUCCAUUGCUAUCCUUCAUAAUUUACAUUUAUGAUGUUUUUCAUGUCUUAAACAUUUUAUAAAUUUUAAGUAUGAAAAAGAGAGAUGUAGCUCAGUUUAUUUCCUCAGCUGGAGAAGCAGGAGGAAUUCCUAGCUAGCAUUCCUUGAAACUUUCUUGGGCAGAAAUAAUUGUCAUAGCUGGAAUAUAUGGUUUGUCCACCAGAGGUUCAUAUGUGAGAAGCUUGGUUCCCAGCACAGUAAUGUUAAGGUGGUGGAUCUUUAAGCAGUGAGGACUAUUCAAGGUAAUUGGGUCAUGAGGCACCACCCAUGGAAAGGAUUAAUGCUGGUCUCAUGGAGUAAAUUGAUUCUUGGGAGAGCAGGUUGUUAUAAAACAAGGCCACCCCGUAUGAUUGGCCCUUUCUGCAUGAAGUGGAUUCCCUUUCCAUUUCUCUACCACAUUGUGAUGCAUCCAGAGGGAUCCUUUUCAGAAUGACAGCACCAUGGUGUUUGGACCCUCCAGCCACCAGAAUUGUGAACCAAAUAAACCUCUCUACUUCAUAAGUUACACAGCCUUAGGUGUUUUGUUAUAGAAUUAUCUGUAAAGACGAGUAAGGUUGAAGGGGUGGAAAGGCCCUCUUCCAUGAUCAGAGCUUUCCUCUGGAUCCUUUCAUGCUAGAAGUUUCCCAAAUACUCAAGUAUAAAUAGGAACCCAAGGGUGGGGGUGCUAUUAAAAAACAGUUCAGGAGCUGGGGUUGUAGCUCAGUGGUAGAGCACUUGCCUAGCAUGUGUGAGGCACUGAAUUUGAUUCUCAGCACCACAUAUAAAUAAAUAAAAUAAAGGUCCAUUGACAAUUAAAAAAAAGCAAUUCAAACAUGUUAUGUUGAUGACAUAAAUAUAUAAGACUAAAAAUUCUUUUGUAAUCCAGGUUGGAUAGCUGUUGUCCACAUUUGGGAACAAAAAUAUUAAGAAUCUAGGAAGUCUCAAAGAAUUGAGCAAUUCUAAUCAUAGUGAUACAAUCAGGG
This 2928-nucleotide long non-coding RNA is filed under the name Marmota monax (woodchuck). The stretch from base 2655 to 2723 matches the Rfam family "tRNA". The record is from RNAcentral. Lineage: Eukaryota; Metazoa; Chordata; Mammalia; Rodentia; Sciuridae.